RNAcentral lists this ribosomal RNA (566 nucleotides) under uncultured bacterium. RNAcentral's name for it is "partial 16S ribosomal RNA". It matches the Rfam family "Bacterial small subunit ribosomal RNA", at positions 355 to 937 of the family's 1533-position model. The record is from RNAcentral.
UGGGGAAUAUUGCACAAUGGGCGAAAGCCUGAUGCAGCAACGCCGCGUGAGGGACGACGGCCUUCGGGUUGUAAACCUCUUUUAGCAAGGAAGAAGCGAAAGUGACGGUACUUGCAGAAAAAGCGCCGGCUAACUACGUGCCAGCAGCCGCGGUAAUACGUAGGGCGCAAGCGUUAUCCGGAAUUAUUGGGCGUAAAGAGCUCGUAGGCGGUUUGUCGCGUCUGCUGUGAAAACCCGAGGCUCAACCUCGGGCCUGCAGUGGGUACGGGCAGACUAGAGUGCGGUAGGGGAGAUUGGAACUCCUGGUGUAGCGGUGGAAUGCGCAGAUAUCAGGAAGAACACCGAUGGCGAAGGCAGAUCUCUGGGCCGUAACUGACGCUGAGGAGCGAAAGGGUGGGGAGCAAACAGGCUUAGAUACCCUGGUAGUCCACCCGUAAACGUUGGGAACUAGUUGUGGGGUCCAUUCCACGGAUUCCGUGACGCAGCUAACGCAUUAAGUUCCCCGCCUGGGGAGUACGGCCGCAAGGCUAAAACUUAAAGGAAUUGACGGGGUCAUAGCUGUUUCC